Molecule: transfer RNA, 77 nt
Filed under: Paenilisteria newyorkensis
Lineage: Bacteria; Bacillati; Bacillota; Bacilli; Caryophanales; Listeriaceae
Description: Listeria newyorkensis tRNA-Met
Rfam family: tRNA
About the family: Transfer RNA (tRNA) molecules are approximately 80 nucleotides in length. Their secondary structure includes four short double-helical elements and three loops (D, anti-codon, and T loops).
Source: RNAcentral
GGCGGUGUAGCUCAGAUGGCUAGAGCAUUCGGUUCAUACCCGAAAGGGCGUGGGGUCGACUCCCUCCGCCGCUACCU